This is a long non-coding RNA of Impatiens glandulifera, 431 nucleotides long. RefSeq lists it as uncharacterized. The transcript has 2 exons. The record is from RefSeq and is a predicted model, not a curated record. NCBI's taxonomy places the organism in Eukaryota, Viridiplantae, Streptophyta, Magnoliopsida, Ericales, Balsaminaceae.
UAUCUGAGGAGGAAAAAAGAGAAGGGCAUAAAAAUUAUAUUCUCAUCUCAACAAAAACAGAAAAAUAUAUUUUAUCACAAGGAUUGAGGAUAAUGGAUGCUCCAGGCCUACAAAAUAUGGCUUAUUUUGACCAUGUACACCGCAGGCAUCAAGAGAGAGGCUUCCUCUAUGCCUGUUUUUUCGCAAUGUGUUGCUGCUUCUGCUGUUUUGAAACUUGUGAGUGCUGUCUGGAUGUUCUAUGUUGUAACUGUGUCUAAGUUACUGUUUGUGUGUUGAGGAUAUUUCAAUAAUUGUGAGACUGGACUCUUUCUGAAGUUAUAUUUGGAGAAAGAGACCAGUCUUCUAACUGGAAGUGUGUCAUUUAUGUUUUAUUAAGUUUGUACCAAAUAAAGAAACAAUGACAAUAAUUUAAACUAUUCAAUAUUUCCAUA